AACGAACGCUGGCGGCAUACCUAACACAUGCAAGUCGAACGAGACCUUCGGGUCUAGUGGCGCACGGGUGCGUAACGCGUGGGAACCUGCCCUUAGGUUCGGAAUAACUCCCCGAAAGGGGUGCUAAUACCGGAUAAUGUCUUCGGACCAAAGAUUUAUCGCCUUUGGAUGGGCCCGCGUUGGAUUAGCUAGUUGGUAGGGUAAAAGCCUACCAAGGCGACGAUCCAUAGCUGGUCUGAGAGGAUGAUCAGCCACACUGGGACUGAGACACGGCCCAGACUCCUACGGGAGGCAGCAGUGGGGAAUAUUGGACAAUGGGCGAAAGCCUGAUCCAGCAAUGCCGCGUGAGUGAUGAAGGCCUUAGGGUUGUAAAGCUCUUUUACCCGGGAUGAUAAUGACAGUACCGGGAGAAUAAGCUCCGGCGAACUCCGU
Molecule: ribosomal RNA, 432 nt
Filed under: uncultured bacterium
Lineage: Bacteria
Description: partial 16S ribosomal RNA
Rfam family: Bacterial small subunit ribosomal RNA
Source: RNAcentral